AACGAGGCCGACCUGCGGCUGAGUUACCUGCGGAAGGAUCAUUAAAAAAUAGGUCCUUGUGACCUCAGUGUGAACAGCUGAACUGCUGUAAGUCAGGAUGAAUUUCGUAAGCAUUCCGCACUGGUUCGUAGAGGCCUGGUUGAGGCUGCUGCUGUCAUAGGAUGAAUUUCUCAGCAUUUUGCGUAGUUCCUUCACCUCAAGCAGCAGUCAUAACGGGCAGGCAUCGCGGCUGCUAUAUAA
RNAcentral lists this unclassified non-coding RNA (240 nucleotides) under soil metagenome. Its description in RNAcentral is "partial contains 5.8S ribosomal RNA, internal transcribed spacer 2, and large subunit ribosomal RNA". The record is from RNAcentral.